UCAUCUUGAGUCCAUCAAGCUUGGUGUA
RNAcentral lists this non-coding RNA (28 nucleotides) under Mus musculus (house mouse). Lineage: Eukaryota; Metazoa; Chordata; Mammalia; Rodentia; Muridae. The record is from RNAcentral.